UGAUCUUGGGCUCAUAGACUGAUUUCCUGACGGCGUGCCUAAUACAUGCAAGUCGAACGCAAAACUUUUAACUGAUGCUUGCAUCGACCUAAAGUUUUGAGUGGCGGACGGGUGAGUAACACGUGGGUAACCUGCCCAUCAGAGGGGGACAACACUUGGAAACAGGUGCUAAUACCGCAUAAUAYAGAGAACCGCAUGGUUCUCUGUUGAAAGGCGCUUCUGGUGUCGCUGAUGGAUGGACCCGCGGUGCAUUAGCUAGACGGUGAGGUAACGGCUCACCGUGGCGAUGAUGCAUAGCCGACCUGAGAGGGUGAUCGGCCACAUUGGGACUGAGACACGGCCCAAACUCCUACGGGAGGCAGCAGUAGGGAAUCUUCGGCAAUGGACGAAAGUCUGACCGAGCAACGCCGCGUGAGUGAAGAAGGUUUUCGGAUCGUAAAACUCUGUUGUUAGAGAAGAACAGGAGCGAUAGUAACUGCUCGCUCUUUGACGGUAUCUAACCAGAAAGCCACGGCUAACUACGUGCCAGCAGCCGCGGUAAUACGUAGGUGGCAAGCGUUGUCCGGAUUUAUUGGGCGUAAAGCGAGCGCAGGCGGUCUCUUAAGUCUGAUGUGAAAGCCCACGGCUUAACCGUGGAGGGUCAUUGGAAACUGGGGGACUUGAGUGCAGAAGAGGAAAGUGGAACUCCAUGUGUAGCGGUGGAAUGCGUAGAUAUAUGGAAGAACACCAGUGGCGAAGGCGGCUUUCUGGUCUGUAACUGACGCUGAGGCUCGAAAGCGUGGGGAGCAAACAGGAUUAGAUACCCUGGUAGUCC
Molecule: ribosomal RNA, 814 nt
Filed under: uncultured microorganism
Description: bacterial SSU rRNA
Rfam family: Bacterial small subunit ribosomal RNA
Source: RNAcentral